GAUGAACGCUGGCGGCGUGCCUAAUACAUGCAAGUCAAGCGAUCAGAUGAGGAGCAUGCUCCUCAGCAGUUAGCGGCGGACGGGUGAGUACCACGUCAACAUCCUCCCUAUAAGACUGGGAUAACUUCGAAAAACGGGUGCUAAUACAGGAUAAUAUAUUGAACCGCAUGUAUCAAUAGAAAAAGACGGUUUUGCUUUCUAUGGUAGAUUGUCCCGGGCUGUAUUAGCUAGUUGGUAAGGUAACGGCUUACCAAGGCAACGAUGCAUAGGGGACCUGAGAGGGAACGAGGCCACACUGGACCUGAGAUGCGGUCCAGACUCCUACGGGAGGCGGCAGUGGGGAAUCUGACGGUAAGGGCGAAGGCAUGACGGAGCAACGCCGCGCGGGUGAAGAGGAUCUUCGGAUCGUGAAACUAUGUUAGUAGGGAGGAACAAAUGUGUAAGUAACUAUGCACGCCAUGACAGUACCUAAUCAAAAAGCCACGGCUAACUACGUG
RNAcentral lists this ribosomal RNA (497 nucleotides) under uncultured bacterium. RNAcentral's name for it is "partial 16S ribosomal RNA". It matches the Rfam family "Bacterial small subunit ribosomal RNA", at positions 28 to 507 of the family's 1533-position model. The record is from RNAcentral.